CGGAAGUGCGGCUUAUACUCAGUGCGGCUUAUAAUCGUGAAAUUACUGUACUCAUUCCUAUAAGCACUGAGCAGAAGUACUUUGGACAGAGAUUAGAAUUUCUUCAUCAAAACCUCUCUGAAGUAUGCCAUGGCAUUCCAUGUCAAAGCAUGCUCCUUUUUGACCUCAUGGUUUAUACACUACAACUCACAGUACAGCCUUUGCUGAUCUUGCUUUGUGAAAAGGCUCCAUCUCCUGUAAGGACACCAGGGAAACCCACAGAAAAAGAGCUGCCUUAAACACAAUCCUUCACAACUGUGCAGUUCCCUUGCUCGCCUUCUGCUUGUUUGACCUCUGAGCAAAACACAUCCCUAAGGCAAAUGUUCCUCUCAUGCUGGCUUUACAGCCCUGACCAGCCUUGGUUCCCAUCUCCCCGAGGCCUCACCAGCUUUGACUCAGCAGUAAGCCAUAACAGAGGACAGACCUGCUGCCUCAUAAACCAGCAAAUGUACACACCUGCCUGCACACAGCACUGCUGGCACUGUGGGGCCUGCACACCCCUGUGCCCGUGCCAGUGACAUGCUGGGAGUCACACAGCCAGCACAGCAUGGUGCUAGGAUGAGAAUUCAGAGCUCCUGUCUCAUCCUCUGACGUUUAAACUACUCCCUGCUAGUGAGCAGACUAGAGUUUAUCAGACCUUUUUUGGGAAAACAACUGCUGGUCUGGAGAAUUAUUCCUGCCAGGGCAACAAACUGAAAAAACUCCCUCUCAGGUACAGUUACCACAAUCUUCAGAACAGGAAUUACUACCAGAUUUUAUCUGCAAACAAUGCAUUGUGAAGCUGUUUUUUUAAUGUUUGGAGAAGACAAUUUACGCUCAUAAGUCAAUCAAUCGCUGAAGGAGAGAUCAGGAUUUACCACAGAGCUGUCAAGCCAGAAUCCAUGAAUACAUGGAUUUUCUUUUAUCGAGUCACAAAGCAACCAGCCCUCUAGCAGUGUCUCGACUGAAAAAUCAGGCUCCUGGCUCACUCCAAAUGUAACCUCCCACACGUAAAGGCACAUCCCGCUGGCAGAGCCUGCCAAUGGACUUCCGUUCCCUUUGCCAGGUCGGCAAGGCAUUCCCCGUGGCACCACCAGUGGCAUCCCAGAGACCCUGCCAACAGCUCGUUAGUGACCCCAAAACACAGACACAGGAACUUGCAGCAGCAGCUGAAGCAAAAGCUCCUUCUCUGCUCCUGUAACUGAGCUUUCCAAGCUCCCCAUUUCUCAGGGAAAACACUCAUGCCUGCAUGUCUGCCAGGCUCAGAGCAAACAGCUCUUUCCCAGCAGCUGAACGCAGGGGAAGGGGAAGCCCUAGGGCUGCAGAGAUUAUGCUGGAGGUUACAGUUCUUUUUAGCAAGAGGAAACACAGGUUGUCUGUUGUGCUUGCAAUUUUCAAGGUUAACCCUUCAGACAGCUUUAUCCCUUCACCUUCCUGCAUUUCCUAGCUAGUUAGAGAGGUAAUUUGUACCUUUCUGUUUCAUGAUUCACAGCAAUUAGUAGAAUAAUAAUAGAAAUUUAAAAGGAUAAAUGUGACCAAAUGUGAUUAUUCUUUUCAACAGCUGUGGAGCACUCAAGAGAAAUGCCAGCCAAUACUGUUCCCUUAGCUUGUCCCUAAUGUUGGUACUCAACAACAAAAAACUAAAAAAACCCCAAACAAACAGUAGGUAUUUGUCUCCAAAUAUCUUCUGUCCCCCAUUACUCAUUAUGCCAAACUGUGUUUUCCAUUUCAAUUAACAGAAUCCCUAAGAUUCAGUCAAAUUAGCGUUAUUUCUAUAAAUACACAUGAGCACUCCCAAAAACAUCAAAGACGGGUAUGUGAAAUUACUCUGCAUUAUAAUGCACUAAGCACAGCUAUGAGAAUUUUAAAAUAUCAAUUGCAACAAAGGUUUAGCCUCUAGGCAAAGGUCCUUAAAUUAGCAGCUUCAAUGCUGAAUGCCAAGUGGGCAAAAGAAGUAGGGCAUCGCUGCUGAACGGGGAUCCUGCACCUGCCCACACACUGGGAAUGGAACGGGAUGCAUUACGAACCCAAACACAAACGAGCCCUAAGCAUUUCUGAAACAGUUUUCACUAGGGAAUUGCGUGUGCUUCGCAUUUCUGUGUAUCACGUUCACUUUAACUCACGGACUGCAAAGCAGCGAGGAAGAGCUCAGCCAGCGGCAGGGGAUGGGUGCUCACCUCGAGCUGCAGCACAGGCAGAACACACACAGCAGCACGCCUGAAGUCCUGGGCUGCCAACUUACUUUCCCGUUUCCCUCCCUCAUUUCCCUGCCAAGGUUACUCUCCUAGCUGUCACAGAAGAUGUACAUGAUCUUUCUUCUACUGUUUUAUGUCCACUUAUUAAACACCCUCCUUCCUACCAGGGGGAACCCAGAAAGAAAGCUGGAUACCCUCUGCCCCGAGCGCUUGCCAGUUCCCACCGAAAUGAAACAAAGCCCUUCACCAAGGCGAGGCAAUGAAGACAAAACCAGGUCCCUUCACAAAAGAGACUCCUGAAAGGGAGUUCAGUCGUUACACAAGCGAUUUGCUGCUUUUAAGAGCGAAAGGCUUCAAAAAAAGGCAACUCCACGUGAAGAAGCCGGCUCUGGCUUAGUUCAUUAGCGCCAAGUAAAAAACUGUGAAGGAUGGCGACUCCCGAUGCGAGUUUGCCCUACAGGGAGAGGGAUGCAGCCUGAAAAAACAAACCAAAGAGCACUUUUCAACCCAGUUUUAACAAAAACACGUGAUCCCUUACAUAAAUCUUAAACUUGCCUCGCUCGGCAGCAAAGUGAGAAAACAGCAGUAAAAAGUUGGGGGAGUAUAGAGAGGAGCGACAAGAAACUUAAAAUCGAGAGAGCGGUGGUCACACAGAGGCAGCCCCGGGGAGCCCAGGUGCGGGAUGGGCGCUGCAAGAUCUCCGGGCGUGGAGCGGGCUUGACUCCCCCUGCCCGGAGUUUUUGGAGCUCUGGUGAUGAGAAAUGGAUGAGGUGGGAAAUGGAUGUACAAAUAACCUACAGACACAGGUGUGGAUGGAAAUCAACACUCUCACCAAACAUCUGCUGACAGCAAACACGCCUGAAACCUGUGCCAGUGACCUUCGUGCUGGAACUGAGCCACAUUCCAGGUGACAUCUCACAACUACAGCAUUUGUUCAAGUGGCAAAGACCUACUUGAGGCUUUAUUGACAGAAUGAAUAGUUUUGGCAUAACCAGGCACGGACUUAAACCAGCACUGCCAGAUGCAAGCAUGAUUCUUCUUGACAAGCAUGAUUCUCCCUACCUGAAGACUAAAUCAGUGCUGCAUGAAUCUGUUAUCUUCUGUCUCACUGUUCAACACCGGAUCUGGGCUGACAGUGGAAACACUGAGACAGCUUGCAAUCACCAUGGAUGUCCCUGGAGCCUUCCAGCUUGUCAAGCACAGCACACUGCUCUGUGCUUGAGAGCAUAUGGCCAACAAAACAAAGAGCUUGCAGCUGGAAUUUGAAUGUAGCACAAACUGAACUGCUUUAAAAAUCAAGGUAUGUCACUAGGAAGAAACAAAUUGUAAAGAUGCCAGACACAAAAGGAAAUGUAGACAACCACUGGUCUCAAGCCAGGAGCAAUUGUCUAAACUUCCCAUGAUGAUAAUCCAGCCAUCUCCUGAUGCAGUACCUAGCUGUGCAGAUGUACCUGUGGAAAACAAGUCAUCAACUUCCUCCUCCUCAAAAAGUUCUGAUUUUGAAAACUUGUAGUAAGCCGACUGUCACUCUGAAAUAUGAUCAACAAAUUCCCCACAGGAUCAUCACAGAAGGCGUGGGGGAAUAUUUUUCAUGAAAAGCUGGGAUGAAAUACAGCAUCAGAGAUAUUUUCUGUAGGUUGCUGAUAGGCUCAUACACUCACUUCCCUGGUGGUUUUGUUUGCCUUUGUGCUUGCAGUUGAUGCAUGAGUGCAGGAUAAGUGGGAGUAAUACUUUAGUCAGGAUGCAGGAAUGCUCAUUGGAUGAAA
Molecule: long non-coding RNA, 3979 nt
Organism: Catharus ustulatus (Swainson's thrush)
Lineage: Eukaryota; Metazoa; Chordata; Aves; Passeriformes; Turdidae
Exons: 5
Source: RefSeq, a predicted model, not a curated record